UACCAUCCACUGAAAUGGGAUCAAAAUCGGGAAUAAAUUAUAUCAUAUUUUCACCAAUCAUGAUCAGAAAUCGAAAAAAUUCCAACAAUAAAAUGCUAUAAUCUGAUUGAAAUCAGCCAAUGAAAUCAGGCAUUUAAGAGAUCCUAAGACACGUCAAUCACUUUUCACACAGCUACUCAGCCAGAUGCCCCAAAGACUCGAAAGUGAAAGUAAAUCUUUUCGUUGGUUAUUUUUGGCGCAAUUCAACGUUCAACCGCGUGUCUUCGCCGCUGUGCUCCUUCGAAAGCGGACCUUGUCAUUAUAAAAACGACAGGAAAAGAUGCAAAUUGUCUCUUGCAAUUUGACUAUGAACAAUUAUGAAGAACUUUAUUACGAUUCGUAUUACGCAACCGAUUGCGUAUCCUAAAGUUAAAAAGUGAAACAAAAAAAAACGACUAGUUAUGGAAAGAAUUGGAAGAGAAUUAUAAAGAGAAGU
This is a long non-coding RNA of Xenia sp. Carnegie-2017, 475 nucleotides long. RefSeq lists it as uncharacterized. The transcript is spliced from 3 exons. The record is from RefSeq and is a predicted model, not a curated record. NCBI's taxonomy places the organism in Eukaryota, Metazoa, Cnidaria, Anthozoa, Malacalcyonacea, Xeniidae.